Molecule: ribosomal RNA, 241 nt
Filed under: Streptomyces sp. DK15
Lineage: Bacteria; Bacillati; Actinomycetota; Actinomycetes; Kitasatosporales; Streptomycetaceae
Description: partial 16S ribosomal RNA
Rfam family: Bacterial small subunit ribosomal RNA
Source: RNAcentral
GCCCGCUCUAAGUGAUGUGUGCACCCGAUUACGGGUAAACAUUCAUGGAGAGUUUGAUCCUGGCUCAGGACGAACGCUGGCGGCGUGCUUAACACAUGCAAGUCGAACGAUGAAGCCCUUCGGGGUGAUGGGGACUCACAGGAGACCGCCGGGGUCAACUCGGAGGAAGGUGGGGACGACGUCAAGUCAUCAUGCCCCUUAUGUCUUGGGCUGCACACGUGCUACAAUGGCCGGUACAAUG